Liolophura sinensis is the source of this 72-nucleotide small nucleolar RNA. Lineage: Eukaryota; Metazoa; Mollusca; Polyplacophora; Chitonida; Chitonidae. The record is from RefSeq and is a predicted model, not a curated record.
UCUCCAAUGAUGAAACCCAAUUUGUCAGUUCUGCUACUGAGUGGUAGUGAUGAGUUCGAUUUCCUGAGGAGA